GACGAACGCUGGCGGCGUGCUUAACACAUGCAAGUCGAACGGAAAGGCCCUGCUUGCAGGGUACUCGAGUGGCGAACGGGUGAGUAACACGUGGGUGAUCUGCCCUGCACUUCGGGAUAAGCCUGGGAAACUGGGUCUAAUACCGGAUAGGAGCCAUUCUUAGUGUGAUGGUUGGAUAGUUUUUUCGGUGUAGGAUGAGCUCGCGGCCUAUCAGCUUGUUGGUGGGGUAAUGGCCUACCAAGGCGGCGACGGGUAGCCGGCCUGAGAGGGUGGACGGCCACAUUGGGACUGAGAUACGGCCCAGACUCCUACGGGAGGCAGCAGUGGGGAAUAUUGCACAAUGGGCGCAAGCCUGAUGCAGCGACGCCGCGUGGGGGAUGACGGCCUUCGGGUUGUAAACUCCUUUCGCUAGGGACGAAGCUUUUGUGACGGUACCUAGAUAAGAAGCACCGGCUAACUACGUG
Molecule: ribosomal RNA, 464 nt
Filed under: uncultured bacterium
Lineage: Bacteria
Description: partial 16S ribosomal RNA
Rfam family: Bacterial small subunit ribosomal RNA
Source: RNAcentral